This is a long non-coding RNA of Biomphalaria glabrata, 551 nucleotides long. RefSeq lists it as uncharacterized. Lineage: Eukaryota; Metazoa; Mollusca; Gastropoda; Planorbidae. The record is from RefSeq and is a predicted model, not a curated record. The transcript has 3 exons.
CAGAGAGAUGGAAAGACAUCAAAGAAUGGGCAGGUCUGCCAAGAAAUGGUUUAUCCAGGGCUAAGUACAGAGAGGAAUAUAGAAGGGCUGUUGACAGAUCUUGUGUGGUGCCCCCAUGGUUCAACAGACUAAUUGAUUGGUAAUGAAAAUAAUACCAGGGUUAUGCUCCUUUGACCAUUGAGUUCCAGGAUGAAGAAUGAAAGACAGAGAGCAAUGUGAAGACAUGAAAAAAUGGGCAGGUCUGCCAUGAAAUGGUUUAUCCAGGGCUAAGUACAGAGAGGAAUAUAGAAGGGCUGUUGACAGAUCUUGUGUGGUGCCCCCAUGGUUCAACAGACUAAUUGAUUGGUAAUGAAAAUAAUACCAGGGUUAUGCUCCUUUGACCAUUGAGUUCCAGGAUGAAGAAUGAAAGACAGAGAGCAAUGUGAAGACAUGAAAGAAUGGGCAGGUCUGCCAUGAAAUGGUUUAUCCAGGGCUAAGUACAGAGAGGAAUAUAGAAGGGCUGUUGACAGAUCUUGUGUGGUGCCCCCAUGGUUCAACAGACUGAUUGAUAG